UAUCAUGAUGAACAAGAGCUAUUAGCUCUAUAAUCCCAGCUCGUCGACAGCAGCCUCGCUAUAUAUCUCACGUUUGAGGCUGCAAUGAGAGGAAGUCCAACCCUGAAAC
This 109-nucleotide small nucleolar RNA is filed under the name Capronia epimyces CBS 606.96. RNAcentral's name for it is "A. fumigatus snoRNA Afu_304". It matches the Rfam family "A. fumigatus snoRNA Afu_304". The record is from Rfam by way of RNAcentral. Lineage: Eukaryota; Fungi; Ascomycota; Eurotiomycetes; Chaetothyriales; Herpotrichiellaceae.